UCCGAGUGGUGUGGAUGUUUAUUGGGCCUAAGGCAUCCGUAGCUGGCUGGGCAAGUCCCCUGUUAAAUCCACCGAUUCAAUCGUUGGUGUGCGGGGGAAACUGCUCGGCUAGGGGACUGGAGAGGCCGACGGUAUUUCCGGGGUAAGGGUGAAAUCCUAUAAUCCCAGGAAGACCACCAGUGGCGAAGGCUGUCGGCUAGAACACACUCUACGGUGAGGGAUGAAAGCUGGGGGAGCGAACCGGAUUAGAUACCCGGGUAGUCCCAACCGUAAACGAUGCAAGCUAUGUGUUUGGGCGGCCACGUGCCGCUCUAGUGCCGCAAGGAACUGUUAAGCCUGCCGCCUGGGGAGUACGAUCGCAAGAUUGAAACUUAAAGGAAUUGGCGGGGGAGCACCACAAGGGGUGAAGCUUGCGGUUUAAUUGGAGUCAACGCCGGAAAUCUCACCGGGAGCGACAGCAGUUUGAAGGCCAGAUUAAAGGUCUUGCUAGACGAGCUGAGAGGAGGUGCAUGGCCGUCGCCAGUUCGUGCCGUGAGGUGUCCUGUUAAGUCAGGCAACGAUCGAGACCCGCGUCCUCUGUUGCUACUAGCUUUGUGCUGGGCACACUGAGGAGACCGCCGCUGAUAAAGCGGAGGAAGGAGCGGGCCACGGCAGGUCAGUAUGCCCCGAAUCUCCCGGGCCACACGCGAGCUGCAAUGGCAGGUACAAUGGGUUCUAACCUCGAAAGGGGAAGGCAAUCCCGAAAGCCUGCCGUAGUUUGGAUCGAGGGUUGAAACUCACCCUCGUGAACAUGGAAUCCCUAGUAAUCGCGUGUCACUAGCGCGCGGUGAAUACGUCCCUGCUCCUUGCACACACCGCCCGUCGUUCCACCCGAGCGACUCUUGGGUGAGGCGUGGUCAUUAUUGGCUGUGUCGAAUCUGAG
RNAcentral lists this ribosomal RNA (922 nucleotides) under uncultured crenarchaeote pBRKC88. RNAcentral's name for it is "SSU rRNA". It matches the Rfam family "Archaeal small subunit ribosomal RNA", at positions 483 to 1413 of the family's 1478-position model. Lineage: Archaea; Thermoproteati; Thermoproteota. The record is from RNAcentral.